This 386-nucleotide ribosomal RNA is filed under the name uncultured bacterium. RNAcentral's name for it is "bacterial SSU rRNA". It matches the Rfam family "Bacterial small subunit ribosomal RNA", at positions 30 to 416 of the family's 1533-position model. The record is from RNAcentral.
AUUGAACGCUGGCGGCAGGCCUAACACAUGCAAGUCGAGCGGAUGAAAGGGGCUUGCUCCUGGAUUCAGCGGCGGACGGGUGAGUAAUACGCAGGAAUCUACCUAGUAGUGGGGGAUAACGUUUCGAAAGGGGCGCUAAUACCGCAUACGUUCUGAGGAAGAAAGCAGGGGAUCGCAAGACCUUGCGCUAUUAGAUGAGCUUGCGUCCGAUUAGCUAGUUGGUGGGGUAAAGGCCUACCAAGGCGACGAUCGGUAACUGGUCUGAGAGGAUGAUCAGUCACACUGGAACUGAGACACGGUCCAGACUCCUACGGGAGGCAGCAGUGGGGAAUAUUGGACAAUGGGGGCAACCCUGAUCCAGCCAUGCCGCGUGUGUGAAGAAGGCC